UGGGGGAUAUUGCACAAUGGAGGAAACUCUGAUGCAGCGACGCCGCGUGAGGGAAGAAGGUCUUCGGAUUGUAAACAUCUGUCGGGGGGGAAGAAGGAAGAGACGGCACAGCAAGACCACGCCACAACAAAAAAUUUAA
RNAcentral lists this ribosomal RNA (139 nucleotides) under uncultured Clostridium sp. RNAcentral's name for it is "partial 16S ribosomal RNA". It matches the Rfam family "Bacterial small subunit ribosomal RNA", at positions 355 to 495 of the family's 1533-position model. Lineage: Bacteria; Bacillati; Bacillota; Clostridia; Eubacteriales; Clostridiaceae. The record is from RNAcentral.